UUUUCAUUUUGUAAACCACAUUUUUUAGAUUACUGUAAGAAAGUGGUGUAGUAUCCCUGUCUCAUGUUUUGGAUGACAUCAUGCCUGAUAACUGUAAAGAUUGAUCCACUCUAUGGGGAAAAACAAGGAAAAGGUAUAUAAGGGUCCUUUUUGUGGUAAUAGCCAGUACCUAUUUGGCAAGUUAUCGCGUUUGUUGUUUUAGAAAGCAAGAACAUCACCAAACAGCGAGUUAAGAAGAUAUGUCCGCUUGGUGUCGAGGUUAAAGGCAAACGAUGCGAAACUCAGGACGACUAUAAGGCCCCUCCUGCUGCUCCCCCACAGUAAAGAGUUCUUCAUAUAUGAGGGUUCGCUCACGUCUCCGCCAUGCUCGGAGUCAGUACUAUGGGUCGUUAUGAGGCAACCAUUACAGCUGAGUUCACGAAGGCUGCAGAUGCUGAGGAACCUUCCAAGAAAAGGUGGGCGGGUGUUGGCGACAUAUACAAACGUCCGCCCCGAACAAGAACUUAACAACAGGCUUGUGGAAACCAAUUUCCCUUGUUCAGACAACCUCGAUGCCUUCAAUACACCGACAGAACACGGAGGACAUUUAUAGAUAUGAACAUUGGAAAAUGUCACGAAUAUGUGUUUGUUAAAGAGUUUAGGAGCUUAUAUUAACAUAUUUAUGUCAAUACAUUUUUUGGCAUUUCCAAAUUUGACGCCUCAGUGACACAACUUAUAUCCUAUGCAAUUCCCUAUGUGUACCUUAUGUUCCUGUCUUUUGUAAUUUAACAACUGACUUGCCUUUGCAUGUAUUUGUGAUGGUUGCCUCCAGUGAGGAAGGAUAUGUUCACCUUCUCGUGAACACCAUGAACAUGUGUUUGUUGCUUUAAUAUAUGAAAAAGGUUGAUUACUUUACAUUACAUGAGAUUGAUUAUGUUGUGUAAGUUUAACAUCUAUUUAUAUGUUUGAAUAGGAUAUUGAAAUACUUCCAUGCCAUACAUACUCUUAACUCAUCAGCAACCCAUGCUUGUCGUAAGAGACGACUAACGGGAUCAGGUGGUCAGGCUCUCAAACUUUGUUGAUGCAUGUCAUCGUAUCCCAAUUGUGUAGAU
Haliotis rufescens (red abalone) is the source of this 1091-nucleotide long non-coding RNA. RefSeq lists it as uncharacterized. The transcript is spliced from 3 exons. The record is from RefSeq and is a predicted model, not a curated record. NCBI's taxonomy places the organism in Eukaryota, Metazoa, Mollusca, Gastropoda, Lepetellida, Haliotidae.